GAUGAUGAUGAUGAUGAUGAUGAUGAUGAUGAUGAUGAUGAUGGCUUCACUUUUCCAACAGCAAAGAGGAAGGAACCAACCUUCAACUCAUCUGGGCAAACAUUUGGUUUCUGCAAAAUACUCCUGUAAUUGCAGUAGGUCCAGAAGAUCAUAAAUGCCCCACUGGGAGAGGGAGUAGUUCCAGCCUUUUAAACAGUAAUAUGAAAGACCGCUUCUGAAGAAACCAAACAGGACUGAGAGGAUGAAAACAACUACAGGCCUGUGGUCAACAUUCCCUUUCUAGGCAGGUGUUGACUGAUAAACUCCAGGCUCUCUUGGAUAAAGCUGAUGUUCUGGAUCCAUUUUAAUCCUGUUUCAGGCUUGGCUAUGGAACAGAAACUACCUUGGUCACCCUGUGGAAUGACCUACAGUGGGAAAAAGACAGAGGGAGUGUAUCCCUAUUGGUCCUCCUGUACCUUUUAGUGACUUUUAUUAUCAUUGACCUUGGUAUCCUCCUAAACAGGCUGUCAGAAUUGGAUAUGAAGGCAUUACAGUGGUUCUGUUCCUACUUGGAUUACCAUUUCCAGAAGAUGGUGCUGAGAAAUUACUCUUCUUCCUCAUAGUGAUUGGGUUAUAGAAUCCUUCAUAUUAUGUCCUAUGCUUCUUAACAUCUACAUGAAACUGCUGGGAGAGAGCAUCUGGGGAUUUGGGCUGAGGUGCCAUCAAUAUGUGGAUGAUACUUAAUUAUAUUUGUAUUUUUCAUCUACACAUGCAAGGUGGUUGGCAUUCUGAACCAGUACAGGAUAAUGGACUGGAUAAGGGCCAAUAAAUUGAGACUCAGUCCGGACUAUAUGGAGAUACUGUUGUAAGUGAUGCAUCUGUUCACCUGAGUGAUGUCCUGUCUUGGAGGAGUCUGCACUCUCCCUAAAGGAGCAGUAGGUUGGGGGUGCUCCUAGACCCAUCAUUGUCACCAGAGGACCAGGUGGCCUCAGUUGCACAAAGUGCUUUUCAUCAGCAUCAGCUGAUUUAUCAACUCUGACCUUACCUGCACAGAGACAGCUUUGCAAUGGACAUUCAUGCUCUGAUCAUUUGUGAUCAGUAAGAGAAAUACAUUGUACAUAAGAAGAAAGACACUGUACAUAAUAUCAGAAAUCACAUCAAAAUAUUCCGGUUCUGUUAGACAUUCCAUCACGUAGAGAGACUUCAGAAGUACUCAAUGAAAUGGACCAACCUGGAUGUACUUUCAUCAGCAAUGGGGGAAAAAGUUGGCUCUCCAGUAUGACUGAUGUUUGCCUUGACUAUAUAGACAGAUAGAAGAGAAUACAUGUUACCUAGCACUGAAGAUAUUACCUAGCUGGGUAACGAAACGUCUGCUAGAAAACAACCAAGCUCAGAGAACCCCAAGGACUCCACAAUAUAUAGAUAGACAUUGCAAGAGUUACUUGGAGCAUGGCAAAAUAACUGCAGUACCUGGAGAAAAAAUUACCAUCAAUUCAUUGCAAACAAAGAAAAUAUAGAUAUGAGAACUGAGCUUCAGACUAAUUUGGAUCUGGGGACAUUUAAUAUCCAUCUUAAAAAGAACUUGGUAUACCUUGUUCACAAUGAGAAAGUAUACUGCUUGAAGAGAAUCUCAGGGCUAUAUAUAAAAGCAAAUAAGUUAUGUUCCCAAAGCUGUCAAAUGUGAGAAUUAUGUUCUACUUUAUAAUUUGCCUCAUCUAAAAUUAGUAGUUGUAUUUUUGUAUAAACAAUGAACAGAAGCAAUCUUUAUAAUAUAUCUCUGCAAAACAUAAUAUAUGCAGCACAAAAGAUUGUUCCUUAAAAUUAUGCACUGGGGAAUGAAGAACCAAUUUUUGACCUGGCAGAUACAGGAUGCAUAAUUAGGCACAAGCAUGACAACAUGCUAAGAAACUUUAUUAGAAGGGGGUGCCAUUUUAGCUUUGUGCUAAAACGAAGCAGCUUAUUUAUGCAUUCACCGAGUGAUGGCUUUUUCUAAGUUUUACUCUCUCUUUUUUUAACUUUCUGAGUAGGAGAAAUAGGUUCCGCAAGUGAAAUGCUUUCAUCCAUUUUAACAUUAUUAGUUGCAAAAAGGGACAUUUCAUCUACAAAUAUCUUCUUCUAUUGCUUUACAGAAGUGAGCUGCACACAUUAAUUAUAUCCAGAGGGAUCAUAACUUUUAUUGCUGUUGAUGAUAUUUGCUUUAAUGAACUGUGUACUUCUAAUACGCCUUUUAUGUUCUGUUGGUAUUAGUUUAUCCUAACUAUCACGUGAGUGCCAAGUUUAAAUGCAAACACAUACACACCCGCUCUCUUCUUCUUGUUUCCUUCUUGUUGUUGUCCAUUGCUUAAGCGUAUGGAUCGGCUUCUUUUUUAUUGCUGUUGUUAGAUUUUAUGGAAAAGGAAUGAAAUAUUAUAGAUAUUCCUUUUUAAAGUGACAUUUCCUUUUUAAGUCCUUGGAGAUUCUGUUGCCAUUCAUAGAGCAUACAUGAGCUUUGGAACAAGCUGAGGUGAUAACUUGGGUAAGAGCUUAAAAUAUUUAAGAAACUAAAAGCACAGCUAUUACUUUCCACUUUUCUCACAUCAGAUAUUUGUGUCUGGAAAGAGCUUAGCUGAAUUGUACUUGAAGCAAAUAAAGCAGGUGGCCAAGUAAUAAAUCACAGCACAAGUAGACCUUGGGUUACAAUGGCAACUGGGAUUCGAAUUGCUGCCGCUAAGGGUCAUGGUCAUAAAGUAUGACAUUAUGUGAUUGUGCUGCUUAGCAAUGGCAGUUCCAGCAGUCCUGGUUGCUGUUGAUAAGUGAGGACCAUGAGGGUCAU
Molecule: non-coding RNA, 2791 nt
Organism: Python bivittatus (Burmese python)
Lineage: Eukaryota; Metazoa; Chordata; Lepidosauria; Squamata; Pythonidae
Source: RefSeq, a predicted model, not a curated record